This 244-nucleotide ribosomal RNA is filed under the name Vibrio vulnificus. RNAcentral's name for it is "partial 23S ribosomal RNA". It matches the Rfam family "Bacterial large subunit ribosomal RNA", at positions 2707 to 2925 of the family's 2925-position model. Lineage: Bacteria; Pseudomonadati; Pseudomonadota; Gammaproteobacteria; Vibrionales; Vibrionaceae. The record is from RNAcentral.
CUCUGGUGUUCGGGUUGUGUCGCCAGACGCAUUGCCCGGUAGCUAAGUUCGGAAUCGAUAACCGCUGAAAGCAUCUAAGCGGGAAGCGAGCCCUGAGAUGAGUCUUCCCUGAUACUUUAAGUAUCCUAAAGGGUUGUUCGAGACUAGAACGUUGAUAGGCAGGGUGUGUAAGCGCUGUGAGGCGUUGAGCUAACCUGUACUAAUUGCCCGUGAGGCUUAACCAUACAACACCCAAAGGGUUUUG